CGCCGCUCCCCGCGGCAGCCAUUUUGGAGUUGCACCAGCCCCGCCCCUCGGAGGCACCCGGCCCCGCCCCCUCGGUCCAGGAGCAGAAACAGGAAAUGGGAUUGCAAACCUAGUAGCUGCGCGUGCCGGCUAUUCAGGACUAGCGCAGGACUCUGGGCGACCUCACAUCCCACUCGUGCUGCUGCCCCGGGCACUCGCCUCCCGCGAAAAGUCGUGGGACCACGUCGAAUAUGGGG
RNAcentral lists this long non-coding RNA (236 nucleotides) under Homo sapiens (human). RNAcentral describes it as "HSALNT0283999". The record is from RNAcentral. Lineage: Eukaryota; Metazoa; Chordata; Mammalia; Primates; Hominidae.